This is an RNA transcript of Branchiostoma belcheri (Belcher's lancelet), 4830 nucleotides long. It is a transcript of the gene named beta-1,4 N-acetylgalactosaminyltransferase 1-like, with no coding region annotated. The record is from RefSeq and is a predicted model, not a curated record. Lineage: Eukaryota; Metazoa; Chordata; Leptocardii; Amphioxiformes; Branchiostomatidae. The transcript is spliced from 11 exons.
GUCCUCACAAGCAAUGUUCAAGUCUGUGGUGUUUUCUUGCAGUCUGUCUGUCUUUUUACUAAUAAGGCUUUGAUUAUCUGCAAAUAGGAGUUCGUUGAGGGCUGCUGGUUUUGGGUUUGCCUGCUUUGUUAUCUUGUCCAUGCGUAUGAUGAACAAGAGCGGCGACAGUGCGCAGCCCUGCCUAACCCCGACCGUACCUCAAACUAGGACUGCACCCAUGCAGUUUUGUAGAAGGCCCUGAUGUUAUCAAGUAGUUGGUCACUGACAUUAUACUGUUCUAGCACUGUUUAUAAUUUCUACCUGUUAACGCGAUCGAAGGCCUUCUCCUAGUCAACAAACACCAGAUUCAGCUCCUUAAUGUACUCUAUGGCUUUCUCACUGAUUUGCCUUAGGACAACGAUGGCGUCUGUGCCCCCUUUUCCCUUCCUGAAGCCCAUCUGUGCUUCACUCAAGACUGGUUCCACUUUCUAUCUUGUUCUUUGUUCCAGGAUCUUUGAAAACAUUUUUCCGAGAUGCCCGAAAACCGUUUCUGACAAAGAUGAUACCAACAAAACUAUCUGUCGGUUUUUGAGAAAUAUUUGAACUACAGUUUGGGAAGAAAUGGAUGCAACUUCUCCCAACCGAAAAAGCCUUUUUCUAAAUCUAGUACUGUUCGCAGCAGGAAGUUUCUGUGGAUAUUUGUUGAAUUCGCAUUUAGACACAGUCUAUAUUAGAGAACAGAACAGUUAUCAUGCAGCCGGUGCUUUUGAAGUCAGCUCCCUUAUGCGUCCUUUGGGAAAGACUCAAUCUCAUCUCGUUAAGUAUGAUCCAACCAUUUGUAAGUAAGUAUGUAAAACAAUUUCAGUUUAUUGUAUUGCUACAAUCUGGAAUAUUUUUUCACUACGAUAAUAAACUUAAGAAAUAGGUUAAGUGAUUGUAAAAUAGUUUUGUAUAGGAAAUAUACAAUAUAUAUAUAAAGAAUUAAAUGUUCUCCCAACCAUACUAACCAAGAAGCAAGUACAAUAAAGGUGAUUCAAAUAAUAGUUACCAGUGCAAUCGCCGCACUUCGAUCAGUAUUAUGUAUUUAUUUUGAUGCUGUUACAAAACUGAUGACAGACUAUGUAGUGUCCUUUUCGCCAGAAAAAAAUAACCAAAAGUACAUAAUGCGGUCACGAGCUAUGUGAUUGAUUAUUGUACGAUCGAAUAAAUACCUCCCUUAUAUUUCAGUAAACUUAAGCAGAUUCCUUGUUCUGAGUGCAAAGCGGCUAAACUAUCCAUUUCAGCAGCAGACCAGAAAAGAAGAGAGGCAAGUUUAAAAAGAUACGAAAGAAGGCGAAUCAACAUAUUCCACGGACGUAACCAAGUAAACGGGUCAUCACCGAUAAGUUAUCCGGCACAUGGCGUUUCUGUCAUACCGAUGCGUUCUGUGUGGCUAAAAGGGUUACAAGUUGAGUGGUUCAAUCUUUACAAUAUACGGAGCAACAUAAAAUUAAAGUUUCAGAUAAAUGCUACCAGAGGAGUUUUCAACUUGAUUGGCCAUGUACAUGAUGUCGAUGUUACGGGGAAUGGUUCAAAGACGAUAACUAUCUCAACAUACAGCCCGUCCCUGCUUAAUCUUCAGCUCAAGUACAUCGCCUAUGAAAAUACAUUUUUCGAUGCCAAUAUUGUCGACCGAGGUAAUCUUGUGGUACACUUUUAAGUGCAAUGAAUAAUAUGGAUUUUAUUUGAAACAUUUGAAAGCACGCUGCUAAGGUAGUGGUAGAGGUAGGCCGCCUGGUCCACAGUUUCGACUUGAGUGUUAUACACGCUGAUACUCAGCCGUGAUUGAUCAGCAUGAUCUCCCACUUCCAUUGUUUUGUUCUUUUCUAUGCUGAUCUUCAGCCCAACGUUCCCAGCAAACCGUUCUAGCUUUGUUGUGAGGUGCUGUAGAUCCUGGUUGUUCUCAGACAGCGGGGCUAGAUCAUCCGCAAAGUCAAGGUCUGCCAGUUUCUCUCCCUCCCUCCACCUCACUAACUCUCUACCAUCAUCUCCAGUCUUUCUCAGGACAAAGUCAAUGGUGAAAAGAAAAAAAGGGAAAGGAUUUCUCUUUGUCUGACACGCGUGGCAAUGUCGAAGAAAUCUGCUGUUUCUCCCUCUGUUAUGACGCAGCAUCUUGAGUUUCCAAAAAGAGUCUUGAAGGCGUUGGCAAACUGCAAUAUCACAAAGAGAUGCCCUAAGGACACUGUCAAAAGCUUUCUUAAAGUCUAUGAAGUUUAAUACCAGUGGCGUUUGGUGCUCAAGACACUGGUCAAUGAUGUUACGGAGAGUGAAGACCUGUUCUAUGCAGGAGCGGUAACUACCCGUUAGUACAUAAGAUUCAAUUUUCAAUCAACCAGUAAGCAUUUAACGGAUCCUUUUUGAAAUUCAGUGUACAUGGGUUCAGACCGAGCUUUUUGGGCUUUUAAAGUAAAUCAACAAGCACUUAUCGUAGGAACACAAGCGGUUCCAGCGCAAGCCGUACAGGUACUAUCCGCAAUGAAAGUUGGCACGGGCCUCAAAAGCCCCCCACCCCACCUCUCCGGUAUGAAUAGGGUUAAGGGAGAUUACGCGCACGUGAGUUUGUGUAUUGCUUGUUCUAGUCGAGGCGGCAUCCCUUUGCCAAAAAUAGUCUAAUUUUCUGCUGGAUGAAACCAAACAUAUUGUGACAUAUCGGCUUUGUGGUCACUAGCUAGAAAUUAAAAUGAAUUUAGCUAGAAAUUAAAAUGAAUUUCAGUGGCUUCUGUAAUGUUAUAGGUUUAGCAAUGGGAUAUAUUACAAUAGGCGUGGCUUUAAAAAAUGACAAUAGGUCGACCUAAAAAUGUAAAAUUAGUCAAGGCCUGUGCUAGGGCCCCUAAUGAACGCCACCUAGAAAUAUUGCAUUUUAUUGCUUUUUGUUGUAUGCACAGAUUUUCACACUUCUGUUAACGGCGUUUCCAGGACAUAAACUAGACUCAUUAUGUGUCAGUACCAGGUCUUUGCUCUGCAGGAUUACAAAACAUGGCCACUCUUGCAUCAUAGUUUCUGUUUUGCAUUGUUAAGCAACAUAAACUUUUUUUUCCUUUAAGUCAUAAUUCAAUUCAUGGAGUUCACUGCAACCAUGCCGAUACACAUUCAACACGUUCAGCUGCCAUGGCUGUUCGAAGAAGGAACAGCUUUCAGAGCAGUAAUGUCGAUCACUACCGGAUGCCCGCAUACAAGGGAUAUUUUGCUGGCCGAAAUCUUGGAUUAUCCCAGGUAUGGACGGAAUAUUUUUUCUACAUGGAUGACGACAUGGUGAUUACAGAAACAACAAAGAUGGACUUGCUUGUAUCAUUCCUGGAUAAAACCAACUUUCAUCUUGUAGGUGUGGGAAUCCAGGAUCGGUUAAGUCCAACAACUUACCUAGCUCUCGGGAAUAAGACACACAGGUGCAUUGUUCAGAAACCAGACCCAGGAUAUUACAGUGAAGUCCGCGGAUUUCCUGGGAUAUACGCAAACGACGCCGUUUUAAAUAUAUUUCUUGCCUCUACCAAUGAAGCCAAAGCGGUCGGCUUCGAUCCACACCCAUUACUCGCCCGGAUCGGACACAAUGAGUUUUUCCUGUCCGCUCUUGGGAGGCUCCGUGUGGCAGCUUGCAGCUUCUGUGCAGUCCAUCACGUGAGGGGAGGACCUGUUCCUGGUAACUACUCAAGAUACCGUAAACCUGACAAGCGGUUUAAGGCAAAGCUCGAAAAACUACAACCUAUAUAUGCAUAACAUUGACUGUGUAAAAACACAAUGGGUUGUGAACAAAGAUAGAAAACAAUAAUCACUUGAUUUUAUUCCAUAUAAUGUACAAGUAACAAUUCACAAACUACACAAUCCAGGCUAUCAUCCCUUAUUCGUAAUAAUUAAUACAUAGUUAUUAUUAUCGGAAUUAACCAGAUCUGUAUUUAUGAUUAAAGCCAAAUUUAAUGUUCAUCAUUUAAGGUCAACACAAUUAGAUUCGCCCUGUAUUGUAGCAUUGGUUAAUUAAAGCGUAUUUCCUAAUAAAUUAUGUGUUAAAGUUCACCGUAGCCUUUUUUUAAAUUUGGGACCCUUACUCGGCAUUCAUUACAAACGAUGGCACCUCGUAUCUAUCAGGCUUGACAUCGUAUCUAUCAGCAUUGACGUAAAUUUUCACUUUGUGCUCAAAAUAGAAUAUCUUUGACCUUCUGUAUCUCACAGAAAAUAGCACAUAUUUUAUUGCCUCUAACAUAUUUCAUAAUCCAUAUAUUAACAAAGAAAAUGAUAUAAAGUUUUGCUCCAAAUGUUUUUGCGGUGAGCUGUGGUAGAAGGUUAAAGAUUGCCUGUUUUUGUAAAAUUUCAAAAUUAAAUUCUGAAGUUUGUUAUUUUUAUCAUGUGGCAAGGAAAGGUACCUUGUGCACACGAAAUAUUCUUUCUCGAUUAACAAAGGGUUAUCAUGAUAAUUUUUUAAGAUAGAAAAGUUUUAUUUUAUUUUUUAUGGUUUCAACUUGUACAGUAUUCCUGUGGCAGGACAAUGCUGACUGUUACCACUGUGGUAAUCCUGUUACAAACCUGCAGGCAAAAAGGGGAAUUUUUAUCAAGGGAAUUGUCCGACUCAUAAUGUGAUAAGGGGCCUUCCAAUAGAAAGUCAUUCCCAAAUGUCCAACAUAUAAAUAUAUAUGAAUAUAUAUGAAUAUGUAUGAAUAUGUAUGAAUAUGUAUGGAUAUGUAUAAAUAUGUAUGAAUAUGUAUGAAUAUGUAUGAAUUUAUUUGAAUAUAUAUGAAUAUACAUAAAGACCAGGCCUAACAACUGCAUCUUUUUCUAAGAUGAGGCAUGACCACAACCUCCGUAGGAGCUGACAUAACUGUU